AAUUGAAGAGUUUGAUCAUGGCUCAGAUUGAACGCUGGCGGCAGGCCUAACACAUGCAAGUCGAACGGUAACAGGAAGAAGCUUGCUUCUUUGCUGACGAGUGGCGGACGGGUGAGUAAUGUCUGGGAAACUGCCUGAUGGAGGGGGAUAACUACUGGAAACGGUAGCUAAUACCGCAUAACGUCGCAAGACCAAAGAGGGGGACCUUCGGGCCUCUUG
This 219-nucleotide ribosomal RNA is filed under the name Escherichia coli. RNAcentral describes it as "partial 16S ribosomal RNA". It matches the Rfam family "Bacterial small subunit ribosomal RNA", at positions 1 to 217 of the family's 1533-position model. The record is from RNAcentral. Lineage: Bacteria; Pseudomonadati; Pseudomonadota; Gammaproteobacteria; Enterobacterales; Enterobacteriaceae.